ACAAUUUAUUACCUCGAUAUAUCUUGUCCUCUGCUAAAAAAAUUACUGAAAGUAAAUUAUUUUCUGAACAAUUCCCUAUUUAUAUAUAGUAGCCAGUUGUAUUAAAUUUUUUAAAUAAACAUUCUGCAUUCUAACACAGUGUGUAAAAAAAGGUUGCCGCUAUUAAAUUUUACUACAGUAUAGGACGUUCGGCAACUGUGGUUCUAGGGUGUUCUCGAGAAAGGGGGCGUUUUUAGGCUUUACCCAUAGCGGGCCGUUGUAUCCAGGACUGACGAAUUAUAUGUGGUAAUAUAUAUGUUCGAUUACGCUACUAUUCAUGAUAGUACAGUUUACUGAUGGUGCAGUAUACAGGUUGGUUUUCCAAGCAAGGAUGAAUUAGAAAUGGGUUUGCAAAAAUCGUAAAUAAAGUAAUCAAAACAGUGACCCAAAAAACAUGAAG
Non-coding RNA from Schizosaccharomyces pombe (fission yeast), 439 nucleotides. The record is from the annotation of a GenBank genome assembly. NCBI's taxonomy places the organism in Eukaryota, Fungi, Ascomycota, Schizosaccharomycetes, Schizosaccharomycetales, Schizosaccharomycetaceae.